This 381-nucleotide ribosomal RNA is filed under the name uncultured eukaryote. RNAcentral describes it as "SSU rRNA". It matches the Rfam family "Eukaryotic small subunit ribosomal RNA", at positions 587 to 972 of the family's 1831-position model. The record is from RNAcentral.
AGCUCCAAUAGCGUAUAUUAAAGUUGUUGCGGUUAAAAAGCUCGUAGUUGGAUUUCUGUCGAGAACGGCCGGUCCGCACUAUGUGCGUGUAUCUGGUUCGGUCUUGGCAUCCUCUUGGAGAACGUGUCUGCGCUUGAUUGCGUGGUGCGGAAUUCAAGACUUUUACUUUGAGGAAAUUAGAGUGUUCACGGCAGGCAAGCGCCUUGAAUAUAUUAGCAUGGGAUAAUAAUAUAGGACUCGCGUUCUAUUUUGUUGGUUUCUAGAAUGUGAGUAAUGAUUAAUAGGGAUAAUUGGGGGCAUUUGUAUUAACGCGUCAGAGGUGGAAUUCUUGGAUUGCGUUACGACAAACUACUGCGAAAGCAUUUGCCAAGGAUGUUUUCA